GAUGAACGCUGGCGGCGUGCCUAAUACAUGCAAGUCGAGCGAACAGACGAGGAGCUUGCUCCUCUGACGUUAGCGGCGGACGGGUGAGUAACACGUGGAUAACCUACCUAUAAGACUGGGAUAACUUCGGGAAACCGGAGCUAAUACCGGAUAAUAUAUUGAACCGCAUGGUUCAAUAGUGAAAGACGGUUUUGCUGUCACUUAUAGAUGGAUCCGCGCCGCAUUAGCUAGUUGGUAAGGUAACGGCUUACCAAGGCAACGAUGCGUAGCCGACCUGAGAGGGUGAUCGGCCACACUGGAACUGAGACACGGUCCAGACUCCUACGGGAGGCAGCAGUAGGCAAUCUUCCGCAAUGGGCGAAAGCUUGACGGAGCAACGCCGCGUGAGUGAUGAAGGUCUUCGGAUCGUAAAACUCUGUUAUUAGGGAAGAACAAAUGUGUAAGUAACUAUGCACGUCUUGACGGUACCUAAUCAGAAAGCCACGGCUAACUACGUG
RNAcentral lists this ribosomal RNA (497 nucleotides) under uncultured bacterium. RNAcentral describes it as "partial 16S ribosomal RNA". It matches the Rfam family "Bacterial small subunit ribosomal RNA", at positions 28 to 507 of the family's 1533-position model. The record is from RNAcentral.